This 448-nucleotide ribosomal RNA is filed under the name uncultured bacterium. Its description in RNAcentral is "bacterial SSU rRNA". It matches the Rfam family "Bacterial small subunit ribosomal RNA", at positions 355 to 825 of the family's 1533-position model. The record is from RNAcentral.
UGGGGAAUCUUGGACAAUGGGCGCAAGCCUGAUCCAGCCAUGCCGCGUGAGUGAUGAAGGCCUUAGGGUUGUAAAGCUCUUUUUACCAGGGACGAUAAUGACGGUACCUGGAGAAUAAGCCCCGGCAAACUUCGUGCCAGCAGCCGCGGUAAUACAGAGGGUGCAAGCGUUAAUCGGAAUUACUGGGCGUAAAGCGCGCGUAGGUGGUUUGUUAAGUUGGAUGUGAAAUCCCCGGGCUCAACCUGGGAACUGCAUUCAAAACUGACUGACUAGAGUAUGGUAGAGGGUGGUGGAAUUUCCAGUGUAGAGGUGAAAUUCGUAGAUAUUGGGAAGAACACCAGUGGCGAAGGCGGCUAACUGGUCCGGUACUGACGCUGAGGUGCGAAAGCGUGGGGAGCAAACAGGAUUAGAUACCCAUGUAGUCCCUGAGCGGGCUGGCAAGGCGCAU